This 3079-nucleotide long non-coding RNA is filed under the name Canis lupus familiaris (dog). RNAcentral's name for it is "lncRNA (ENSCAFG00845019122.1)". Lineage: Eukaryota; Metazoa; Chordata; Mammalia; Carnivora; Canidae. The record is from RNAcentral.
CCGUCCCCCGCCGUCCCCCUCCGUCCCCCUCCGCACGCGGGUCUUCCCGGCCUCGGCCUCGGCCUGGCGGGGGGGGCUGUGCGUCCCAGAGGCCUCGACCCCGGAACCGGCCGUCUCACCCCCCAAUUCCGCCUCGUCCCCCGCGCCUCCCUGUGCUCGCCCAAGACCCGAGGGGGCUGCUCCCGCAGCAGCACCGGGGCAGCGCCCGGCUCCGGGGCGGGGACCCCGGCUCGCCCCCCGCCUCCCCCGCUGCUCCGACGCGGCCCCCCUGGCCGGGUGGCCCGACGGUACGGGUCGGGCGGUGCCGGGGGCGGCCGGUCGCUGACGCCCCGACACCCAGACAGCGCUGCCCGGGCCCCACCUGGGAUCCGCCCGUGGCCGGCGUCCGCCCCCCGGAGCCCGGCCCCCGCGAGGCCCGAGCGGCCGCGUCGCUGGAAGUCGGCGAAGUCUAAGCCGGGAGUUCGGUGCCUCAAGGCACGUAGGAAGCGUGCGAGAGGGCAGAGGAGUGCGCAGCUGAGGGCCUGCGGGCAGCAGGGGAGCUUCAAAGAGCCCGGGAUAUUUGAUUUGCACCUGAGAGACUUCAAAUAUUACCCUGUGGCAUGCACUUGUGUUUUUAAUGCAUUCAGAACUGGAAAGUUCUUAUGCCCCAGCCAUUCUCCUUCAAGGUCUGACCAGUGGCCACCAGUUACCUGGGAGCUUUUUAAAAAUGGAGGUCCCUGGCCUCUGGCCCAUACGCACUAAAUCAGAACUGUUGGGGGGUGAUUCUAUGAAUCUAGAUCUUUAACAGGUUCCUCAGGGAUUCUUAUGCUCUGAAGUUUGGAUAUUUCUGCCCCGAACUCACCAGUCCAAUUAUGGGUACAGUCAUGUUUAAGGUCCCAGAUAUUGAGGAUGAAGACCUAAGAAAGAUUAAUAGGAAAUGUGAUACAUUUUAACCCCAGAAAGAUGGACGUUCUGAGGACAGGGAUGAACAGAGGGCUGAUUAUUAAGUAGCUAACUAUAUUCACUCUAAAGAUGUAAAUGAAAAUCCUUGUAUUCCUGAGGCCAUACUUAAUAAACAGAGACAGGAGAAAGAAAUUCCCAACCCAGGAUCUUUCUGGGAUGCAGUACUGACCACCCCCAGCAUUUACGUCUUAUCAGUCACCUAUUGCCACAAUCAUGCUGUAUAACACACAGCCACAGAAUCUCUAUAGUGCUCAAUAAGAGAUCAUGAGUUUUGGGGCACCCAGGUGGCUUGGUUGGUCAAACAUCUGACUUCGGCUUGGAUCAUGAUCUUGGGGUCCUGGGAUCAAGCCCUGUGUGGGACUUCAUACUCAGCGAGGAGUCUGCUUAUCCCUCUCCCCCUUCCCCUUCCCCUUCCCCUGCUCAUGCACACCCCCCCCCCCAAUAAUUUUUUUUUUAAUUAAAAAAAAAAAGGAAUGAAUGAGUUUUGCUCGUGCAUCUGGGUUGUCUGGGAGAGUCUUCUGAUCUAAACUGGGCUCAGUGAGUCAACAGUCAGCUGUAGGUAAGCUAAUGACUUACUGAUCUUGGGUGGGUUUCUCCACCCAGGGCCUUGGCCAGAGCGAUUGAAACAACUUGGCUUGCUGCAGGCCUCUCAUUCUCUGCCAGGCUGGGCCCAAACAUGGCAGGACCCUGAGACAGAGCAGAGGCAAGCAAGAUCUCUUAGAACCCAGGUCUGCAGUUUGUACCAUGUCACUUCUGCCACAAUUGGCUAAGUCAAGCCACCAGAUGAACCCAGAUUCAAGAGAAAUAGACUCUGCAAACAAGUCUAGACUGCCUAGCUAGAAGGCAUAAAGUUCUAACAGCUGUCAGAUUGGGCCUGGGUAUCAGCAGAGCCUUGCAUGGGAAGGGAAGGCCUCGCAUGGCCACGGUGCACUCCCAGGAUCUUAUACUUUACCCACGAAAGCCUGGUGUACACCCCCAGUGGGGAUGUGCCAAAGUACUCUGGAGAUUAUUCCAGAUAGGCAGAGAACCCCCCCCCCCCCCAAAGAUGGCAUUCCCCUUACUUUGCACAUCCUGUUUCCACGAGGUCCUGAAAUUCUAAUCAGGUUCUGGUUGUCAAGGAGAUGCCGUGGUUUCAAAGUAGGGCACAUCCAUGCCUGUGCUCAAGACCUAUUGAAAAUGGCUUUCAGCUCCCUUUCCAAAUAAAUAAAUGCAAGUAUUUUAGUCUAACCUCGACGACCCUGUGUGGUCUGAGCAAAUGACCCUUUCCAAAUUCAUCUUCUAACACACAGCCCUCCACUCAUGGCCUGGAGAUUUCACGCUGCAUUUUUGCUUCCUCUGUCCUCUCUGCCUGAAUGUGUUGUUCUUCAACCUCUGCAAAUCCAAAUCUUAGCAACUCCAGGAGUGCCCAAACCUUCACGGAGAACACCAAACACAAUGAAAUACCUCUUUACUUGGCAUAGAAGAAACAGAAUAGCAACUAAAGUUAGACUGGCCUGAGAACCGAUCUACCAGCCACUUGUUUGGCCUUAGACAAGUUACUUAAUUUUGUUCCACCUACUUUUUUUUUUUUUAACUCUUUAAACAGAGGGCCAUCCCCAUUUGUAGGGUGACUAUAAUAAAAUGAUGUUUUCAAAGUUCCCAACAUUUAGAAGAUUCUUGAUAAAUAAUGGCCAGUUUUAUGACUCCAUAAAACUAUCAAACCAUCCCUUUAUUUUUGUCUCUGUUGCCUGAUGUGCCACCGCUACCCUCUUCCACCCAUACUUCCCCUUUCUUAAGGACAGGGGGCUCUGUCCGCCUUCAUCCUGUUAUCUGCAUUUUCCAGAUGAGGAAUCAGAGAAACCACAGGAUUAGGUAACUUGUUCAAGGACAGAUGGCUGGCAAUGCUGGCGUUGAGAUUUGAAUUUAUUCCAGGAUGGGUUUUCGAAAUUCCUAUCUUAUACUGUCUUAUCUUGGCCUGGGGUAUCCUGGAAGCAGAGCCAGAGACCCUGGUUUAGGAGAUCUGGAGAAAGUGGAGGACGGGGAGGGAGAAGGAAAAGAGGGAAAGGCGAUAAAGUUGGACUAGUACUUGAUUCUGGGGUCUCUGAGUCUCCAGGCCAUGGCCUGGCAGACUGAAAGAAGGAAGCAUCCAUCCUGUCGU